Molecule: ribosomal RNA, 432 nt
Filed under: Pseudomonas aeruginosa
Lineage: Bacteria; Pseudomonadati; Pseudomonadota; Gammaproteobacteria; Pseudomonadales; Pseudomonadaceae
Description: bacterial SSU rRNA
Rfam family: Bacterial small subunit ribosomal RNA
Source: RNAcentral
AUUGAACGCUGGCGGCAGGCCUAACACAUGCAAGUCGAGCGGAUGAAGGGAGCUUGCUCCUGGAUUCAGCGGCGGACGGGUGAGUAAUGCCUAGGAAUCUGCCUGGUAGUGGGGGAUAACGUCCGGAAACGGGCGCUAAUACCGCAUACGUCCUGAGGGAGAAAGUGGGGGAUCUUCGGACCUCACGCUAUCAGAUGAGCCUAGGUCGGAUUAGCUAGUUGGUGGGGUAAAGGCCUACCAAGGCGACGAUCCGUAACUGGUCUGAGAGGAUGAUCAGUCACACUGGAACUGAGACACGGUCCAGACUCCUACGGGAGGCAGCAGUGGGGAAUAUUGGACAAUGGGCGAAAGCCUGAUCCAGCCAUGCCGCGUGUGUGAAGAAGGUCUUCGGAUUGUAAAGCACUUUAAGUUGGGAGGAAGGGCAGUAAGUUA